UGGCUAUCACAGAUGAACAAUUCAAAGUGAAUCCAGGAUUGGGUGCUGUUGUUAACCUGCAAGAAUGGGCUUAACCAGACCUGAGCCUAUUACUGGAAACAGCAACCACCAGAGAAUGUGGCACAGGGUUCCAAACAGGACUGA
This is a long non-coding RNA of Mauremys reevesii (Reeves's turtle), 144 nucleotides long. RefSeq lists it as uncharacterized. The transcript has 3 exons. Lineage: Eukaryota; Metazoa; Chordata; Testudines; Geoemydidae. The record is from RefSeq and is a predicted model, not a curated record.